RNAcentral lists this ribosomal RNA (778 nucleotides) under uncultured bacterium. Its description in RNAcentral is "bacterial SSU rRNA". It matches the Rfam family "Bacterial small subunit ribosomal RNA", at positions 8 to 796 of the family's 1533-position model. The record is from RNAcentral.
AGAGUUUGAUCAUGGCUCAGGACGAACGCUGGCGGCGUGCUUAACACAUGCAAGUCGAACGAGAUCCAUGAGGUGGUAACACCCCGGAAGAUCUAGUGGCGAACGGGUGAGUAACACGUGAGGAACUUGCCCCAGACUCCGGGAUAACUCAGGGAAACUUGAGCUAAUACCGGAUAUUCUCAUCAGGUCGCAUGGCCAUUUGAGGAAAGUUUUUCGGUCUGGGAGAGCCUCGCGGCCUAUCAGCUAGUUGGUGAGGUAACGGCCCACCAAGGCUACGACGGGUAGCUGGUUUGAGAGAACGAUCAGCCACACUGGAACUAAGACACGGUCCAGACUCCUACGGGAGGCAGCAGUGGGGAAUCUUGCGCAAUGGGCGAAAGCCUGACGCAGCAACGCCGCGUGCGGGAUGACGGCCCUUCGGGUUGUAAACCGCUUUCAGCAGGGACGAAAAUGACGGUACCUGCAGAAGAAGCCCCGGCUAACUACGUGCCAGCAGCCGCGGUAAUACGUAGGGGGCAAGCGUUGUCCGGAUUUAUUGGGCGUAAAGAGCUCGUAGGCGGUUCAGCAAGUCGGGUGUGAAAAAUCUGGGCUCAACCCAGUGGAGCACCCGAUACUGCUGUGACUAGAGUCCGGUAGGGGAGUGUGGAAUUCCUGGUGUAGCGGUGAAAUGCGCAGAUAUCAGGAGGAACACCAACGGCGAAGGCAGCACUCUGGGCCGGUACUGACGCUGAGGAGCGAAAGCGUGGGGAGCGAACAGGAUUAGAUACCCUAGUAGUCC